Molecule: ribosomal RNA, 422 nt
Filed under: uncultured Flavihumibacter sp.
Lineage: Bacteria; Pseudomonadati; Bacteroidota; Chitinophagia; Chitinophagales; Chitinophagaceae
Description: bacterial SSU rRNA
Rfam family: Bacterial small subunit ribosomal RNA
Source: RNAcentral
UAAGGAAUAUUGGUCAAUGGACGCAAGUCUGAACCAGCCAUGCCGCGUGGAGGAUGAAGGUCCUCUGGAUUGUAAACUUCUUUUAUCUGGGACGAAAAAAGGCUUUUCUAAGUCGACUGACGGUACCAGAUGAAUAAGCACCGGCUAACUCCGUGCCAGCAGCCGCGGUAAUACGGAGGGUGCAAGCGUUAUCCGGAUUCACUGGGUUUAAAGGGUGCGUAGGCGGGUAUGUAAGUCCGUGGUGAAAUCUCCGAGCUUAACUCGGAAACUGCCAUGGGUACUGCGUAUCUUGAAUGUUGUGGAGGUGAGCGGAAUAUGUCAUGUAGCGGUGAAAUGCUUAGAUAUGACAUAGAACACCAAUUGCGAAGGCAGCUCACUACACAAAUAUUGACGCUGAGGCACGAAAGCGUGGGGAUCAAACA